This 76-nucleotide transfer RNA is filed under the name Methanofastidiosum sp. Its description in RNAcentral is "tRNA-Leu". It matches the Rfam family "tRNA". Rfam says of the family: Transfer RNA (tRNA) molecules are approximately 80 nucleotides in length. Their secondary structure includes four short double-helical elements and three loops (D, anti-codon, and T loops). Further hydrogen bonds mediate the characteristic L-shaped molecular structure. tRNAs have two regions of fundamental functional importance: the anti-codon, which is responsible for specific mRNA codon recognition, and the 3' end, to which the tRNAs corresponding amino acid is attached (by aminoacyl-tRNA synthetases). tRNAs cope with the degeneracy of the genetic code in two manners: having more than one tRNA (with a specific anti-codon) for a particular amino acid; and 'wobble' base-pairing, i.e. permitting non-standard base-pairing at the 3rd anti-codon position. The record is from RNAcentral. Lineage: Archaea; Methanobacteriati; Methanobacteriota; Candidatus Methanofastidiosia; Candidatus Methanofastidiosales; Candidatus Methanofastidiosaceae.
GCCCCUCUAGCCCAAAUGGUAGUAUGGCAAUGGACUUAAAAUCCACACAGUCUCGGUUCAAAUCCGAGGAGGGGUA